ACGAACGCUGGCGGCAUGCCUAACACAUGCAAGUCGAACGAGACCUUCGGGUCUAGUGGCGCACGGGUGCGUAACGCGUGGGAACCUGCCCUUAGGUUCGGAAUAACUCCCCGAAAGGGGUGCUAAUACCGGAUAAUGUCUUCGGACCAAAGAUUUAUCGCCUUUGGAUGGGCCCGCGUUGGAUUAGCUAGUUGGUAGGGUAAAAGCCUACCAAGGCGACGAUCCAUAGCUGGUCUGAGAGGAUGAUCAGCCACACUGGGACUGAGACACGGCCCAGACUCCUACGGGAGGCAGCAGUGGGGAAUAUUGGACAAUGGGCGAAAGCCUGAUCCAGCAAUGCCGCGUGAGUGAUGAAGGCCUUAGGGUUGUAAAGCCCUUUUACCCGGGAUGAUAAUGACAGUACCGGGAGAAUAAGCUCCGGCUAACUCCGUG
RNAcentral lists this ribosomal RNA (432 nucleotides) under uncultured bacterium. RNAcentral describes it as "partial 16S ribosomal RNA". It matches the Rfam family "Bacterial small subunit ribosomal RNA", at positions 29 to 507 of the family's 1533-position model. The record is from RNAcentral.